UUUUGCAGACAGUUAUGUUUAAUGGGGUGUAUCUAUGUGUAAAAAAUAGCAAAUGGCAAUCUUCUGAAGAUAGAAAGUACGUCUGUGAUUUUAAUACUCAUGAACUGGUGGAUCUUGCUCAUCCACAUUCUUUAAAUUUACCCAGAUGUACAGCAUCUACUUGCAUGUCCCAGUGCACAUAAAAGGUGUUGCACAAAGCAAUUACGUCAUGUCAUAUUAUGUAUUUGAUAAAUAAUGUCACUUAGAGGUGAAAACGCCGAACACAUUAUUGUAGCAAAAUAAAUCCCUUCAGAAACAUAACUAUUAAGGAUGUUAAAAGAAGACACUGUUUAUUAAACCCUUAAACCCUGAAAGCUAUUGCAACAUAAGGCCUACCGUUGCAUAAGCCUUGACUAUACAAGGAAAGUUAAGGACUGAAUUUAUAUCAGACAAUGACAACCAUGAUAUGUCAAUGUCAGAAAGUCUUCUUGAGGAGACUUACAGAGUAAAAUUUUAAUUAAAUGAGCAGAAAAAAAUAUUGUUUUCAAUCCUAGUCUUGUAACUCAGUAGCUAAAACUUUAGACAAGACAUUUUACGUUUUUACAUCCCACUUAAAAAUGCUGCCAACUAGAACAGAUUUCAAAUGUAAACAGACCACAUGUAUCCACUGAUGUUUCAUGCUCUUCGUCCCCCUGAAGGAGGCAUGCUUGAUGGCUUGUGGUAGCAUUCUGAAGGGGUUGCAUUUGGGCUUGCAUUCAUCCCAGUGGGGAUGUAAUACAUGCUCUCUAGAUAGCUUUGAUCCAGUGAUGAAUGGCCUUUUGGUUCAUUUUUUGGCAUCUGGCUUGCAGGGCUUCCAUACCUUAAGGAAGUCUGGUGAAGUGUGGUGGGCACAGGAGGUGGCUCUGGAUGGCGAAUUUGCGGGGCAGUACCUGAGAUUGCUGGGUAAGAUGGCACUGCGUAAGGCAGGUACUGUGGUGCAUACAACCCAGGACUGUGCAAAGAGGAGUAGGGUGGUGCAGCUGGUGGAUAUAGCCCUGAAUGGGACAUUGCCUGAUGUGGUAUGAGAACUUCUACAUACUGGCCCAAUUCAGGAUCAAACAGCAUUUUUCUGAGUGGUUGCAUUGGUACCUCAAUGUAGAAGUAUUUACCAGUCUCAGGAUCAAGAAGAACACGACGGGCACCUUGGCCACAGCUGAGCCCACUUGCAUUCUCUGGAUACAAUACACCAGCUCCACCUGGACCUUCAUUUGUGUAAUCGUGGCCAAAAGAUGGAGUCAAAUCUUGAGGAUUAAACAACUGAGGCCGGGGAUCCAGAGUAGACAUGUUAGCUGAAUGAGAAUACUCAUGAUAGGGAGCAGGAGCUGCUGCCUGAGGUGAAGGGUGAUUGGCUGGCCGUCUAUCUGCAUGCAGCCCAGAAGCUGGAGGAUGGUCAUCACCAUAGGAUUGUGAGUUUGAAACUGGACAAGCUCGUGGAUUGUGUAGAGGCUGAAUCAAAGCUGAGGCAUGAGGUAUUGUGAUAUUGGAGACUGGUAGACCAUCUGGUCUGCACUGAUGAGGACGAACUUGAGCUUGCGGAGGAGCACCAGGACAGGUAAGGACUUGGCCUGGAGACCGAGAGGCUGCUGGUACCCGUUCCUGUGGACUGUUGUUGGGAUGUCCUUGAUGCGAAUGAGAACUUGGCAUGCAGGAGCAAGAAGACCUACGUGACCUAUGUGGGGGUAAGUCUGAGAGCCGUAGCGGGCUGAAACUCUCCCGCUCAUCAUAGCUGGGAGGAUCAUCUGAAGCGUAGAAAAGAUAGUCAUCUGUGUGAAAACGAUUAUUAGAUGAUGCUCUUGUCACAGAUGGUGUGUGGUUAAGGGCUUGUGGUCCUGAUGAGUUAAAAGCAAUGGAACCAUCUAGAAUUGACUGGUCUUGACUGAAUGAUGGGGUUUGCUGCUGGUAAGUGCUGGUUGCUGGUUGCAAGAAAGCAGUAGAUUGCUGUUGAUCCAGACUGGACAGUGUCUUUGUGGUGGAUUUUUGCACAACACUUGGAGUUGCUGUGACUGGGAUGGAUGGUGGUUUGCAGCUUGAUACAGCUGAUACAGCCAGUCUUUUUGUAUCUGUUGAUGAAGUCUCGUUUGGUUGAUCCUUGUGUGUCACUGUUGAUGGGGUUUCAUUUUUCUUUGAUUCACUACUUAAUAUUGUUUGCUGUUUAAUAACAGACAAUGCUUGAGUAUCUGCUUUUGAUGGGUCACUUGACACUGACUUAACUUCUGCAAAUGACUGUUUAUAGCUGGGUUUUGGUGUUACAAAUGGCUUUAGUCUAUCAGUGGAUAUUGAUCUCACUUGUAUGGGUAACUCAAUCUCUUUUGAUGCAUUCACUGGUGUGGCAUUAUUUUUUGUACUGCUUGAAAAAGACCUCACCUCUGGCUUGCCAGAUGUUGCUAAAUAGGUUGGAAUUUGUGUUGUAGUGGUAGUUUUCUUUUUUUCUUGUUCCUUUGUUAAAGAUUCUUCUGUCAGUAUUCCCUUGGGACUCUCACUUGGUUGAGAUAUUCUUGAUGAAUCAUUGACAAAUGCUGUUGGAUUGCAAGGCAAUGAUGUAUUUUCUGCCUUUACUUGUACUUCACUUGAAAUGCUUUCUGAUGAACAUGCCUGUACAGGUACCUCAAGCCUGUUGACAUGUUUAGCUGUAGCACUUGCACCUUCAGUGAGAACAUCACACACUCCAAUGUCAGCUUGCAUCCCUUUUUCUUUCAGUAGCAUGGAUACAGAGUGGCUGCUGGUUGCAGCUUUCAUUUGAGUAGAGUCAAGGAUUGUAGGGGAAACAGACUUUGUCUUGGAUGUGCAAUCUGGUAGAACCACCAAUGCAGAAACUUCUCGGUCCUUACUUGGGGGUCUAGGGGGCAUCUUAGAACUCUGGUCACAGUGAAUGGAAGAUCUUUUAUUGAUACCUUCUGAUUUAGGUAAUCCAUCUGUGGUCGUAGAGUGAGAAUAUGGUGCUUUUUGUUUUGACUCUUUGUUUUGUUUUGAGCCUUUGGAUGUUAUUUCAGUGAUGUCAGCAUCUCUUUUUGUCUCUGCGCUCACCCAUGGUUGUGAUAUUUUUGAUAUGUCAACAGGCAGUUUUUCAUCAUGACAGUGGAUUGCUUUGCUGCCUGAUGUUUGUUUGUCCUUCCAACUGAUAGCUUUACAUUCAAUGUGUAAGGCUGGAGGAGUUUGCGGCGGCUUCUCUCUUUCCCCUUGAAUAACUGUCUCUUCUGCAGUAGAGGUUGAAUUUGAUGCUUUGAAAGACAGGUUGUAUGUGUUUUUCACUAACUUCCUCACAUCCCUAACUCUAUGUAUAACAGAUUUUUUGUUGCUGUCAUCGUCAUCUUCUGUCUCUAUGACUUUAGUAGAUUUGGUGCUUAUAUCUUCUGCAGCUUUCUCUAUUGCCUGAGAUUUAGAUAUUUCUCUGGACUGUUCCAAGUCAGGGGACAAAGACACUUUCAGAGAUGAUGUCUUUUUUCCUUUGAUAGAAGAAGGUUUCAAAGUUAUCUCUGGGGUUUUCGACAUAAAUACACUCUUUCCAGCCAGUUGUUCCUGGUUUUCCGGUGUCAUCUGGCGCUUUUUUAUGUCUCUGGUUGUCAUUCUGUUCUGCAUGCUUAUUGCUGGUGUAGCAACAACAGGACUUGUGUUACUGAUACUGGCAUUUGCUGAGUCACAAUUGUACUUCUCUUCAAGGUUGCUACCUCCUCCCUCUUUCCUAUCACUCUUGCUGUUUUGUAUUUUGUCAUCAACUUGUGGAGGAGCCACUAUAGGCUUGGUUUCUUCCCUUGCAAUGUUGCCAGCUACCUGAGCUUCCCCAUUGUUAAAGAAUGCAGGUCUUAAGAAUGGCUUUGGUGGAACCUUUGGAGCACACUUCUUCGGCUGACGAUGUGAAAUUCUCUCCUCUCCCGCAGCAAAAUCUUCAGAUGAAAGAGUACAUUCAGAAUGCUGGCUAGAGCUUAAACUAUGUUUCUCCAUGGUACUUGGUACACCAUCAAAAGAGCUGGGGCUGACAUCAAGAUGUUUAUUUUUAUCUCCAGAAGGACUUGGGUCUGUACUUUUUGGUGUCUCUUUCUGCACAUCAUGCAUUUUCUUUGACAAUACACUCUUGAUAAUGCAAGAUGCCAUUUGUGUCUUAGGGGAGCCAUCAUCUAAAGACACAGACUUCUGCAAGGUCUUUUUCCUGUCAUUUUGUGGUGAAUUUGGCACCUCCUUGGAAACUUCCUCUUGCACAAUAGCUGGGGUGCUAUGUUGACGAACAAGUGCGUCUUUUGAGUGUCUAUAUGUGGAGGGUGAAUUCAAAAUAUUUUCAUUGUUUCCUUUAUGCUUUGAUUCAUCUGUGUUCCGCCUUAACAGCUGGAUCUGCCUUUUAGGUACUGUCCUCUUUCCUCUACUGGAUUCUUCCUUGCUCUCUAAUGCAACAUCCACACACUCAAAACUCCCCAUUUCAAAGCGUUUGUUUGGGUCCAGGACAUCACGGGAUAAAAAAGACGAACCAUCAUGUUCAUGUAAAGCUGAGCCACGUAAAUCUGCGUAGGUCAUCCAUGCAACAGCUCCAGGGCUGUCUACAGUCGAUGGCUGUGAAACAUUUGUAGAGGACCUGUGGCUUGAAUUGUACACAUCCAAAUAAUCCACCUGAGGACUAGAUAGGCUUCUGAAGGCCAGAUCUGUAAACCACUUUACUUCAUUGUCUGCUUCAUCAAAUUCACUUCCCAUGUUGGAGGUCUCACCAGUACAUUCAGGAGGAAGAAAGCCUGCACUGCUGUAUUUACCCUGGGCAGCUGACUGGAGCCUCCUGGCGCCACCCUUGUUCUCUUGUUGUGAGCCCUGAGCUCUGAGCUGACUCUGUUGCUGCAAAGUUGUUGGGUGCGACUCAAAAUAACAGCGAGCUGGAAUUCCCGACUUUGGGUCUCGACUUGAGAGAGCUGGGCUGUGGCCUGCAGGCCCUUUUCUAUUCCUGGCACUGAAUGACAGCUCAACCUGUUCCCCUCUGUAACUACUCUCUCCAAUAGUCUCCUCCCCCUCUCCCUCCUUCUUUCCACUCUCCUCUUUUUCCCUGCAUGGUUGCCUGUCAAAUUCACCACCAUUGUCCCUACUGAUAACCUCUGGGCUUUCUCUUAAUGCUACAGGCACUUGACUAAGCCUCUUGUCACUGCUUGGGGAAUCAUUUUUUAACAUUUCUGUUCCCUUGUUCCUAUCAAAAACCUCAACAUGGCAUUGUUUCUUCUCUACAGAUGGCACUGGCUUCGGCAGAGAUGCAUCCCAUGCACACGGGGAGGUUAAAUCAGUUGUGUUGUCAGUGACAUCUUGUUGACUUUUCGCAAUUUUUAUUGUUGACGAUCCAGAAUCUGAGGUUUUAGAGGUUGAAUCUUGCAGUAUCUGAACUGGUGGUCCACUGCCUUUACAUUCAUCUGGGACAAAUGCAAGGCUUUUCAAGGUUGUUGGGUCAGCAUGGUCAUCAAAACAAUCAAAACAGUCUAUUGGGUUAGAGAAAGGAUGACUAACUCCAUCACAGAUUAUGGAUAAACUCUGAUUUUCUGCCUUUCCAAGAGUAAUGGAAGGCUCAGGUUGGAGAUAAGAGGAUAGUGUUGUGUGUUUGGUAUGGUCUGAUGUAGCUGAUGGGGGCCUUGAUCUACUCUCUGGUGUUGGCAAAAAGUUCCUUGAGCUAGGUAAGACAGAGGUGUCAUUUCCAAAAAGAUAGCUGGAAGAUUCAGAAGAGUUGUCACAGACAUUUGUUGAUUGGGCUAAAUCUUUGGUUGGUGUAACGUUAUAUGUGAUGCCUGGGGAUUUUGUAUUUUGUGGCAGAACACUAUAUGAUAUUGUUUUGAUUUCAGGUGAGCAGGUAACUGAUCUCAAUUCCAGUGAAGGGGCUGGGGAAUUGGGCUCUGGUGUAAGGUAAUUUUCUCUGCUGUUUGGAGUAGAGGUAAUGCUCCUUAACGCAGGUGUGGAAUCUCUACUGUAUGUAGGUGUUGCUGUGUAAUCAGUUCCUGUGAUGGCAGGAGAGGAUGGUAGAUCAUUAGGUUCCACUGAAAAAAACAUUCUCUUAUUUGUAGGUGAUGGGGUGAUAGUAUAACCCUUUGGUGAGUGAAUAAUUUCAGGUUCUUGUGAGUGAGCUGGAAUGGAGUGAUCAGUAGAGGAGUGCAUAUCACUGCGACCGCAGGGGGAAGAUGUUGAGGCAUCAGGUUCAGUUGAAUAAACCCGUCUCUCAUUUGUAGGUGAUGGACUGAUGUUGUAACACGGAGACGAGUGAAUGAUUACUGGUUCUGAGUGAUCAGGAGAAGAGCAAAUAUCCCUGUAUUCAAUCCUUGUGACUACAGGGAAGGAUGGUGAGUCUUCAGGUGAUACAGGGGAGGAUGGUGAGUCUUCAGGUUGGACUGAAGAAGAUAUUUUCUCAUAUGUAGGUGAUGGACUGAUGGUGUAACCUACAGGGGAGUGAAUCAGUACUGGUUCUUGUGAGUGACCAGGUGCUGAGUGAUCAGGAGAAGAGCAGGUUUCAUUGAUCUCAGGUGAUUCCAGUCUUUCUCUUCUAUCUUUGGAUGAGUAUACCAGUCCUCUUGUUUCAGUAGAAAUGUCAGACACAGAUAGGGAAUCUAUUUUCCCAUUAUCACUGGUAGGCAGUGUAGAUACAGAUAAAGUAGCACCAUAAUUGUCCUCCAAGCCUGGAGUCUCUGAUGUGUUCCUAACUUGAGUUGGACACAAAUUCAGCAGCUCAGGUGAAGAUCUACCGGUGGAUGCAGGUGUGGAGGUAGUUUCCUUGCUUACAGGCGAGGUGGAGGUUAAUCUGGGUUCUGGCAUGACACUGGUUAUGGAUGAAGAUGAAGUAAACAUUUCAUGCAUAAGGCUGCAAUCUGUUGGAGAAGGGUUUGACAGUUCUGAUGCAGAGCCACUGUUCAUCGUCCCUUGCACAAAGAGAAUGUUUUGCUCUCGUGGACUACAAUAGAUCAUACUCACUUUGUCCUCAGAAGACAUCACAACAUUUUGUUUAAGUGGAGAUACUGCCAAAGAUUCACAGUCUGACUCAAAUAUUUGUUUAUCUAAAAAUGGGCUUGUGCUUGUAUGUUGAGGUGUUUUAAUAAUUCCUUCUUGCUCAAAAACAGCAGGUUCUUUCUCUUCUGAAGAGCAGGAUGUAGGAUUAGAAGGUUUCUUUGCCGGAUUAAUCAGGGUGGUAGCUGGUGUUGAAUUCACAUACUGUGGUUCAGAUGCAUUUGUGAUUGCCGUUUCAUUCACUGGGGCAGUGAUUACUGACACUUGGGAUUCUUCCCAGUUAUCUGUAUGUGAAAGGUCACUACUAUUGACUUUGGAUGCAGGUGGUGUGCACUCUAAUUGGUUAAGUCUAUUUUUGGUAUCAGACAAGAUGGGUGAUUUAGUUGGUGGUGAACGUGAUUCCCUGGUCUCAGAUGUGGAAAAAUCUGGUGUAUUUUCUGGAGAAGGUGUGUUGUAAGUGACUUCAGCAUUGUCGCUUAAGUCGGAUCCAUUGGCAGUGUGGUAAGAUCCUAAAGAGUCAUUGGUAUCAUCUACUGGAAAAGACUGAUCCACUUCCCUCCUGAUAAAUGCGGCAGAGGCUGGGCUACUGGAAAGUGACGGAGACUCGCCGUCAUCCCCAAAAAUGUCACACAGGCAGGUUGUUUCAGAUAUGGCAUUAUGAUGGCUGGGGAUGGAAGUGAUAUCAAAGAUCUCCACACGGUUUGGCCCUUCAUGACUCUGCAGGUUGAACGUGUGUGGAGCACUGCGAAGAAAAGAGUAGCUAUCACCUUCUAGAACCCAGCGUUCCAUUUCUUCACUUCAGAUACCACAGACAUUGGGUUGUCUCACUUGAGCCUUUUAUAAAUGCAUGAACAGGUCACUCAUCAACUGUUGAAUGCUUUCAGACCUGAAACAUCAAAAGAAACAAUAAUGAAAACCUUUUACUAAAAGAAUUAAAUAAUUC
This is a long non-coding RNA of Cyprinus carpio carpio, 7906 nucleotides long. The record is from Ensembl. NCBI's taxonomy places the organism in Eukaryota, Metazoa, Chordata, Actinopteri, Cypriniformes, Cyprinidae.